This 420-nucleotide ribosomal RNA is filed under the name uncultured bacterium. RNAcentral describes it as "bacterial SSU rRNA". It matches the Rfam family "Bacterial small subunit ribosomal RNA", at positions 356 to 773 of the family's 1533-position model. The record is from RNAcentral.
GAGGAAUAUUGGACAAUGGGCGGAAGCCUGAUCCAGCCAUGCCGCGUGCAGGAAUAAGGUCCUAUGGAUUGUAAACUGCUUUUAUACGAGAAGAAAUAGUGUUACGUGUAACAUGUUGACGGUAUCGUAUGAAUAAGCACCGGCUAACUCCGCGCCAGCAGCCGCGGUAAUACGGAGGGUGCAAGCGUUAUCCGGAAUCAUUGGGUUUAAAGGGUCCGUAGGCGGUUUAAUAAGUCAGUGGUGAAAUCCAGUCGCUCAACGAUUGAACUGCCAUUGAUACUGUUAGACUUGAAUUAUUGUGAAGUAACUAGAAUAUGUAGUGUUGCGGUGAAAUGCUUAGAUAUUACAUGGAAUACCAAUUGCGAAGGCAGGUUACUAAUGGUAUAUUGACGCUGAUGGACGAAAGCGUGGGUAGCGAAC